GUCGAGGGGCAUCAGGAAGAAGCUUGCUUUCUUUGCUGGCGACCGGCGCACGGGUGAGUAACACGUAUCCAACCUGCCCUUUACUCGGGGAUAGCCUUUCGAAAGAAAGAUUAAUACCCGAUGGCAUAAUGAUUCCGCAUGGUUUCAUUAUUAAAGGAUUCCGGUAAAGGAUGGGGAUGCGUUCCAUUAGGUUGUUGGUGAGGUAACGGCUCACCAAGCCUUCGAUGGAUAGGGGUUCUGAGAGGAAGGUCCCCCACAUUGGAACUGAGACACGGUCCAAACUCCUACGGGAGGCAGCAGUGAGGAAUAUUGGUCAAUGGGCGCUAGCCUGAACCAGCCAAGUAGCGUGAAGGAUGAAGGCUCUAUGGGUCGUAAACUUCUUUUAUAUAAGAAUAAAGUGCAGUAUGUAUACUGUUUUGUAUGUAUUAUAUGAAUAAGGAUCGGCUAACUCCGUGCCAGCAGCCGCGGUAAUACGGAGGAUCCGAGCGUUAUCCGGAUUUAUUGGGUUUAAAG
RNAcentral lists this ribosomal RNA (513 nucleotides) under uncultured bacterium. Its description in RNAcentral is "bacterial SSU rRNA". It matches the Rfam family "Bacterial small subunit ribosomal RNA", at positions 61 to 565 of the family's 1533-position model. The record is from RNAcentral.